AUUGAACGCUGGCGGCAUGCCUUACACAUGCAAGUCGAACGGUAACGCGGGGCAACCUGGCGACGAGUGGCGAACGGGUGAGUAAUGCAUCGGAACGUGCCUGGUAGUGGGGGAUAACUGCUCGAAAGAGCAGCUAAUACCGCAUACGACCUGAGGGUGAAAGGGGGGGAUCGCAAGACCUCUCGCUAUCAGAUCGGCCGAUGUGGGAUUAGCUAGUUGGUGGGGUAAAGGCACACCAAGGCAACGAUCCGUAGCUGGUCUGAGAGGACGACCAGCCACACUGGGACUGAGACACGGCCCAGACUCCUACAGGAGGCAGCAGUGGGGAAUUUUGGACAAUGGACGCAAGUCUGAGCCAGCAAUGUCGCGUGCGGGAAGAAGGCCUUCGGGUUGUAAACCGCUUUUGUUAGGGAAGAAAUUCUCCGGGCUAAUACCCAGGGGGGAUGACGGUACCUAAAGAAUAAGCACCGGCUAACUACGUGCCAGCCGCCGCGGUAA
Molecule: ribosomal RNA, 498 nt
Filed under: uncultured bacterium
Lineage: Bacteria
Description: partial 16S ribosomal RNA
Rfam family: Bacterial small subunit ribosomal RNA
Source: RNAcentral